GGUGGUGUGCUCCUGCGGCUCCUGUUGUGUCGCAGGCACACGCGCCGUUGGCGGAGCUGCAGAUAAAGUGGUCUGAGCAGGACAGCCGCUGCCCCCACCAGCGCGCUGCCUGAACGGACCGAGAGGCCUAGCGACCCGACUCGCUGCCUCCCUCGAGUCCCCAGAGCUCGGGCUCAGCUUUCUCCAGGCUUCUGGGCCCGAAGUAUGUAGCCCGCCUGCGGCCCGCCUAGGUACCCAGCGGCUGUCGCCCACCGGGCCGUCGAGGCGGCCAGGUGCGCAGCGCGGAGCGGCUCGCAGCGGGGCACAGGCCCGGUCUGCCAGCGGCCUGACCGGCCAUCGGAGCCUGCCUCGCGGGCCUCCAUCCCGUUCUCUCCGGCUCGCCCUCCUAGGGCCGUCUUUAUGGGCCACCUUCUUUCGAAGGAGCCUCGGAACCGUGCGAGCCAGAAGAAGCCUCGUUGCUGCAGCUGGUGUCGCCGCCGGCGCCCUCUCAUCAGGCUGCCGGGCCGGACGCCGACCAAGUCGUCCCCACAGCCCGCGGCGGCGGCGGCCCGCAACCGGGACUGCUUCUUCCGCGGGCCCUGCAUGCUCUGUUUCAUCGUGCACAGCCCCAGCGGGCCCGCCCCCGCCGGCCCAGAGGAGGAGCCGCCGCUGUCGCCGCCGCUGCCGCGGGACGGGGCCUACGCCACCUCCCCCUUGCAGCACCUAGAGCCGCGCUACGCGGCCUUGGCGGCCGAAGACUGCGCCGCCGCGGCCCGCCGCUUCCUGCUGUCGUCGGCCGCCGCCGCUGCCGCCUCCUCGGCCUCGUCGCCCGCCACCCGUUGCAAGGAGCUGGGGCUGGCUGCCGCCGCCGCCUGGGAGCAGCAGGGCCGGAGCCUCUUCGUGGCCAGCAUGGGGCCGCUGCGCUUCCUGGGGCCGCCGGCCGCCGUGCAGCUCUUCCAGGGGCUGCCGCCACAGACGGAGCAUCCCUUGGCCCCCGACCUAGUGUGCAACUGGAAGGACGACGAGCUUCCCGACUACACCUACUGCAGCCAGCCGCCACGCAGCAGCGGCGGCGGCGGCGGAGGACCUGUUGGGGGAGGUGGCUUGCUGCUGCAGCCACUGGAUGCUGGCUACUGCCAGGCCCCAGAGCAGCCCCUGCCAGUGAUCGGCUCCAGGCCCACCUCUCCUUCCUCAGAGUGUUCCUUCAUUGAAGCUACCGGCGACACUCUCCGGGCUGGAAGCAUCACUGCGUGGUCCGCCCAGCAUCAGGCUGAAAGCCGCAAAGCGGACUGUCCGAGGGUCCCCGAUCCCUUCGAAUUCCUUAGAGAUUCGCCCCCUGAGCCCCUAGACAUCAACCAGCUACCCGGGUCCAUCGUGCUUGAGGUGGAUCUGGACGACUAGGUCCAGGGAUGCGAGUUUUUCCCCAACGCAGCCCCCCCGCCCCCCUUCCCGAGGCUGUCUCUGUCCUCCCCCUGUGCAAGGAGGAGUGGGAUUCCCUGAUUCCCUGACAGCCCGGGGUCGCUUGAAGGGGAGACUGGGCAGCCAGUCGCCCCGUGCUUAAGGCCUGUUUUGAAGUAGAAAAGCUUGGAGUCUGCUGAAUGCCUUGUCGUAGAUUAGGUCCGUUUCCACAAUUCAGGAUUCAUUUAUUGCUUUAGCAAAUCCCGAUAUAGAAACUAUUAGAUUUCUGUGGAAUAAAUAUAUGCAUACUUGAGCAAUUUCUAUUUGGUGGGUAACAGCUUUACAUACCGACGUUUGAAAAAGUUUUCAAACUGUUUUCAGGUUUGGUCGCUGCUAGUUAGUGCCAAUAACUUACAAUUAAGCAUGUACCAUGAUCAGUCACUGUACCAGCGCUUUAUAAAUCUCAUGGGUUUCUCCAUUUGAUGCUGUGACAUAAAUCCUGUUAAUAUUUAUUGUAUUAAAAAAGAAACUGACAUUCCAGUGUUUUGGGACAGAUGACUUACACCAGUGAGCCCUGAAGAAGAGGAAAUCGUGGUUGAAAGACUGGAUCAAGGUCACACCCAUAAACUAAAGAGCAAAUCUGGGACUUGAACUAGGGACUUUCGGCCAGCUUGACUUGAAAACCAAACCAACUCUGUUCUUUAUGCCGUUGUUCCUCCUUCCUAUGUCCUUACCUUUCUUUAUGUGCAAUGGAUUACCAGAAGUCGGAAGUCUUUUAUGUUGGGGGUUGGGUGAAUGAAGAAGUUAAGUGCCUGGUGGGAAUUUUAUGUCAGUGUCAGUUACUAAGUAAAAUGUCCUGCUUUGUCAGCGCUAGAAACAAACUUUGUGACAGUUUGUGUUAAGUUAUUAACUCCCCUUCCCCUUGUUUCUUGUCUUUGUUCCCACACUUUUUUCUGGAGGUUAUAAAAUGAGAACUUGAGUUUUCAGUGUGGAUGAUAUUUAAAUAGCACUAGCCAGAAAGAACCUUCAGGAGACUGUGGCUACUUUCCUUGUUACUGAAUUAACUGCCAAUGAAUUGUAAAUGUUACUGUCACAUCAGUGUACCUUAUCUGAGUAGACUUUUAACAUAUGUGUAAUUGUGUGUUUGAAUCUGUUUUACUGUGACAUUGAUGUUCUUGUGAAAAAUACAGCAAAAGACUAAAUAAGUUCC
This is a non-coding RNA of Mus caroli (Ryukyu mouse), 2587 nucleotides long. The record is from RefSeq and is a predicted model, not a curated record. NCBI's taxonomy places the organism in Eukaryota, Metazoa, Chordata, Mammalia, Rodentia, Muridae.